Molecule: ribosomal RNA, 497 nt
Filed under: uncultured bacterium
Lineage: Bacteria
Description: partial 16S ribosomal RNA
Rfam family: Bacterial small subunit ribosomal RNA
Source: RNAcentral
GAUGAACGCUGGCGGCGUGCCUAAUACAUGCAAGUCGAGCGAACGGACGAGAAGCUUGCUUCUCUGAUGUUAGCGGCGGACGGGUGAGUAACACGUGGAUAACCUACCUAUAAGACUGGGAUAACUUCGGGAAACCGGAGCUAAUACCGGAUAAUAUUUUGAACCGCAUGGUUCAAGAGUGAAAGACGGUCUUGCUGUCACUUAUAGAUGGAUCCGCGCUGCAUUAGCUAGUUGGUAAGGUAACGGCUUACCAAGGCAACGAUGCAUAGCCGACCUGAGAGGGUGAUCGGCCACACUGGAACUGAGACACGGUCCAGACUCCUACGGGAGGCAGCAGUAGGGAAUCUUCCGCAAUGGGCGAAAGCCUGACGGAGCAACGCCGCGUGAGUGAUGAAGGUCUUCGGAUCGUAAAACUCUGUUAUUAGGGAAGAACAUAUGUGUAAGUAACUGUGCACAUCUUGACGGUACCUAAUCAGAAAGCCACGGCUAACUCCGUG